RNAcentral lists this ribosomal RNA (840 nucleotides) under uncultured bacterium. Its description in RNAcentral is "bacterial SSU rRNA". It matches the Rfam family "Bacterial small subunit ribosomal RNA", at positions 59 to 895 of the family's 1533-position model. The record is from RNAcentral.
AAGUCGAACGGUAACAGGACUUCGGUCGCUGACGAGUGGCGCACGGGUGAGUAACGCGUGGAUAUCUACCUAUGGGUGGGGGACAACUACGGGAAACCGUAGCUAAUACCGCAUACGACCUACGGGUGAAAGCGGGGGACCUUCGGGCCUCGCGCCGAUAGAUGAGUCCGCGUCUGAUUAGCUAGUUGGUAGGGUAAAGGCCUACCAAGGCGAUGAUCAGUAACUGGUUUGAGAGGAUGAUCAGUCACACUGGAACUGAGACACGGUCCAGACUCCUACGGGAGGCAGCAGUGGGGAAUUUUGCACAAUGGGCGCAAGCCUGAUGCAGCGACGCCGCGUGCGGGAAGAAGGCCUUAGGGUUGUAAACCGCUUUCAAUUGGGAAGAAGAGAUGAAGGUUAAUAACUUUCUGAUUUGACGGUACCUUUAGAAGAAGCACCGGCUAAUUUCGUGCCAGCAGCCGCGGUAAUACGAAAGGUGCAAGCGUUGUUCGGAUUUACUGGGCGUAAAGAGAUCGUAGGUGGUUUGUUAAGUUGGAUGUGAAAUCCCGGGGCUCAACCUCGGAACUGCAUCCAAAACUGGCAGACUAGAGUUCGGGAGGGGUAAGCGGAAUUCCGUGUGUAGCAGUGAAAUGCGUAGAUAUACGGAGGAACACCAGAGGCGAAGGCGGCUUACUGGACCGAUACUGACACUGAGGAUCGAAAGCGUGGGUAGCAAACAGGAUUAGAUACCCUGGUAGUCCACGCCCUAAACGAUGUCAACUAGUCGUUGCGGGUAUUGACCCCUGCAGUGACGCAGCUAACGCAUUAAGUUGACCGCCUGGGGAGUACGGUCGCAAGAUU